This 536-nucleotide ribosomal RNA is filed under the name Escherichia coli. RNAcentral's name for it is "partial 23S ribosomal RNA". It matches the Rfam family "Bacterial large subunit ribosomal RNA", at positions 1240 to 1774 of the family's 2925-position model. The record is from RNAcentral. Lineage: Bacteria; Pseudomonadati; Pseudomonadota; Gammaproteobacteria; Enterobacterales; Enterobacteriaceae.
UCUGUAAGCCUGUGAAGGUGUGCUGUGAGGCAUGCUGGAGGUAUCAGAAGUGCGAAUGCUGACAUAAGUAACGAUAAAGCGGGUGAAAAGCCCGCUCGCCGGAAGACCAAGGGUUCCUGUCCAACGUUAAUCGGGGCAGGGUGAGUCGACCCCUAAGGCGAGGCCGAAAGGCGUAGUCGAUGGGAAACAGGUUAAUAUUCCUGUACUUGGUGUUACUGCGAAGGGGGGACGGAGAAGGCUAUGUUGGCCGGGCGACGGUUGUCCCGGUUUAAGCGUGUAGGCUGGUUUUCCAGGCAAAUCCGGAAAAUCAAGGCUGAGGCGUGAUGACGAGGCACUACGGUGCUGAAGCAACAAAUGCCCUGCUUCCAGGAAAAGCCUCUAAGCAUCAGGUAACAUCAAAUCGUACCCCAAACCGACACAGGUGGUCAGGUAGAGAAUACCAAGGCGCUUGAGAGAACUCGGGUGAAGGAACUAGGCAAAAUGGUGCCGUAACUUCGGGAGAAGGCACGCUGAUAUGUAGGUGAAGCGACUUGCUC